Molecule: ribosomal RNA, 434 nt
Filed under: uncultured bacterium
Lineage: Bacteria
Description: partial 16S ribosomal RNA
Rfam family: Bacterial small subunit ribosomal RNA
Source: RNAcentral
AGCGAACGCUGGCGGCAGGCCUAACACAUGCCAGUCGAACGAACCUUUCGGGGUUAGUGGCGGACGGGUGAGUAACACGUGGGAACGUGCCUUUAGGUUCGGCAUAACUCAGGGAAACUUGUGCUAAUACCGAAUGUGCCCUUCGGGGGAAAGAUUUAUCGCCUUUAGAUCGGCCCGCGUCUGAUUAGCUAGUUGGUUGAGGUAAUGGCUCACCAAGGCGACGAUCAGUAGCUGGUCUGAGAGGAUGAUCAGCCACCUUGGGACUGAGACACGGCCCAAACUCCUACGGGAGGCAGCAGUGGGGAAUCUUGCGCAAUGGGCGAAAGCCUGACGCAGCCAGGCCGCGUGAAUGAUGAAGGUCUGAGGAUUGUAAAAUUCUUUCACCGGGGACGAUAAUGACGGUACCCGGAGAAGAAGCCCCGGCUAACUUCGUG